This is a long non-coding RNA of Eurytemora carolleeae, 348 nucleotides long. RefSeq lists it as uncharacterized. The transcript is spliced from 3 exons. The record is from RefSeq and is a predicted model, not a curated record. NCBI's taxonomy places the organism in Eukaryota, Metazoa, Arthropoda, Copepoda, Calanoida, Temoridae.
CCUAAAACUAGUCAAUUUUGAACCCAACCUCUGUCUAGAAAGAGAAAGAAAACUAAAGGAAGAACAAAUUCGAGAAAGAAAAAGAAUCAUUUACGAGAAAGAGAAGCAAGAAGAAUGGAUGAAAAAGGAGUUAAUAAAGAAAAAGGAUGAAAAGAUUCAAGAAUUUAUUCGCACAAGAGAAGACAAUUAUAAGAAGAUGAAAACCAAAGCUCUUCAAACUUCCAUGAUCAGAACAGCUGUCAGGAGCAAAUCACUUUGUUCACUGACAAGCAGUCUGAAAAAGUUAUCUCUUGAUUGAAAAAAAUGUUCUUAUGAAAAAAUGUUUAAUGAAAUAAAAUCUUAAUUUCU